Molecule: ribosomal RNA, 253 nt
Filed under: uncultured bacterium
Lineage: Bacteria
Description: partial 16S ribosomal RNA
Rfam family: Bacterial small subunit ribosomal RNA
Source: RNAcentral
UACGUAGGGGGCAAGCGUUGUCCGGAAUCAUUGGGCGUAAAGAGCGUGUAGGCGGCUUGGUAAGUCCGCUGUGAAAGUCCAGGGCUCAACCCUGGAAUGCCGGUGGAAACUGUCAAGCUCGAGUCCGGAAGAGGCGAGUGGAAUUCCUGGUGUAGCGGUGAAAUGCGCAGAUAUCAGGAGGAACGCCAAUUGCGAAGGCAGCUCGCUGGGACGUUACUGACGCUGAGACGCGAAAGCGUGGGGAGCAAACAGG